RNAcentral lists this ribosomal RNA (404 nucleotides) under uncultured bacterium. Its description in RNAcentral is "bacterial SSU rRNA". It matches the Rfam family "Bacterial small subunit ribosomal RNA", at positions 355 to 776 of the family's 1533-position model. The record is from RNAcentral.
UGGGGAAUAUUGGACAAUGGGCGAAAGCCUGAUCCAGCCAUGCCGCGUGAGUGAUGAAGGCCUUAGGGUUGUAAAGCUCUUUCGCUAGGGAAGAUAAUGACGGUACCUAGAUAAGAAGCCCCGGCUAACUUCGUGCCAGCAGCCGCGGUAAUACGAAGGGGGCUAGCGUUGUUCGGAAUUACUGGGCGUAAAGCGCACGUAGGCGGACCGGUAAGUUAGAGGUGAAAGCCUGGAGCUUAACUCCAGAACUGCCUUUGAUACUGCCGGUCUUGAGGAUGAGAGAGGUGAGUGGAACUGCGAGUGUAGAGGUGAAAUUCGUAGAUAUUCGCAAGAACACCAGUGGCGAAGGCGGCUCACUGGCUCAUUUCUGACGCUGAGGUGCGAAAGCGUGGGGAGCAAACAGG